AGUAAAGCGUUGUCAAUGUUGUGAACGGUUGUAAACAACUCGUCCCCUCUUCUUGUUUAUUUCUUUUCAUUACGAGUCCCAACAUUACAGUUUCUUCGUCGACUAUCAUGGUUUUAUCUCUCGGGCUCGCGCUCCACCGGAACAACUUCAGCAGGGCCGGAGAAUGGUGCGUUUGUUUGUUGGCAGGGCCUGGGCUGUCUGUAUCCAGAAGGCCGGAGCAUCUCCCUGAUCUCCUUGCAGUUAAAGUGGCAUCUCCCUAAAAUUGUCAAGACGACAGGCACCAAUGUAGUAACCACACAAAUACAUAAAUAGUGCAUAACACAAAAAACGGAAAAUAUUACAAAGAACUCAAGUCAAAAACAUGUCACGUCGCACAUGUCUGAAGUGCAUGUCACACCACUGGAAAGCCUUAAUCAUCAUAUCUGAUUCCAUUGAUGCAAGCAUAAGUUCUCAUUAGGUGUGUGAUCAUACCUGGUUACGCGUCCGUACAGCGUGUCUGUCCUCCUGUGGUCCAGCAUCUCAGCGCACACAUGCCAGAAGCGUAUGUUAAACCACUGGAAAACAAAAACAAGUCUGUGACCUCUGCUUCUUAUAGAAAUGCAAGAAAUUAUAUUCACGUCUGUGACCUCUGCUUCUUAU
Cyprinus carpio (common carp) is the source of this 639-nucleotide long non-coding RNA. Lineage: Eukaryota; Metazoa; Chordata; Actinopteri; Cypriniformes; Cyprinidae. The record is from Ensembl.